This 400-nucleotide long non-coding RNA is filed under the name Heterocephalus glaber (naked mole-rat). RNAcentral's name for it is "lncRNA (ENSHGLG00000039541.1)". Lineage: Eukaryota; Metazoa; Chordata; Mammalia; Rodentia; Bathyergidae. The record is from RNAcentral.
GGAAGAUGAAAAGUCCAAGACUGACAGAAGAAUCAGAGCAAGGAUGAAGCAGAGUAAAAUGAAGUACAGGCAAGAUGGAAAAACCAGAAUUCUCUCCCUGGCUCUGGAGUGGCGUGAUUUACCUGGAGCUCAGAGUUUGCCUUGGGAUUUUUUUCAAUUUGGUGUUCCUGGAACUGAAUGGCUUUGGCAUUUGUGUUAACAACUUAUUUGCUACCUCUGUGGUUAAGUGGGCUUCAGAGUGAGACUUUCUGGAAUGCAAAUCUGCCUGGGAACACUUGAAUGACCACAGGCAAGUUCUUGAGCUUCUCCAGGCCUCUGUGCAUAUGGACAGACAGCUCCAGAAAAUGGAAACUACAUUUUCCUUUGCAGAAUUGUAUGAGUGGCCAAUGUGGUAGGGCAC